GCCAGGCGUGGUGGCGCAUGCCUGUAAUCCCAGCUACUUGGGAGGCUGAGGCAGGAGAAUCGCUUGAACCCAGGAGGCUGAAGUUGCGGUGAGCCGAGACUGCACCAUUGCACUCCAGCCUGGGUAACAGAGCAAGACCCUGUCUCAA
This is an unclassified non-coding RNA of Pongo abelii (Sumatran orangutan), 148 nucleotides long. It matches the Rfam family "Metazoan signal recognition particle RNA". Rfam says of the family: The signal recognition particle (SRP) is a universally conserved ribonucleoprotein. It is involved in the co-translational targeting of proteins to membranes. The eukaryotic SRP consists of a 300-nucleotide 7S RNA and six proteins: SRPs 72, 68, 54, 19, 14, and 9. The record is from Ensembl. Lineage: Eukaryota; Metazoa; Chordata; Mammalia; Primates; Hominidae.